AGUGAACGCUGGCGGUAGGCCUAACACAUGCAAGUCGAACGGCAGCACAGUAAGAGCUUGCUCUUACGGGUGGCGAGUGGCGGACGGGUGAGGAAUACAUCGGAAUCUACUUUUUCGUGGGGGAUAACGUAGGGAAACUUACGCUAAUACCGCAUACGACCUACGGGUGAAAGCAGGGGAUCUUCGGACCUUGCGCGAUUGAAUGAGCCGAUGUCGGAUUAGCUAGUUGGCGGGGUAAAGGCCCACCAAGGCGACGAUCCGUAGCUGGUCUGAGAGGAUGAUCAGCCACACUGGAACUGAGACACGGUCCAGAACCCUACGGGAGGCAGCAGUGGGGAAUAUUGGACAAUGGGCGCAAGCCUGAUCCAGCAUACCGCGUGGGUGAAGAAGGCCUUCGGGUUGUAAAGCCCUUUUGUUGGGAAAGAAAAGCAGCAGGUUAAUACCCCGCUGUUCUGACGGUACCCAAAGAAUAAGCACCGGCUAACUUCGUG
RNAcentral lists this ribosomal RNA (491 nucleotides) under uncultured bacterium. RNAcentral describes it as "partial 16S ribosomal RNA". It matches the Rfam family "Bacterial small subunit ribosomal RNA", at positions 29 to 507 of the family's 1533-position model. The record is from RNAcentral.